This 465-nucleotide ribosomal RNA is filed under the name Microbacterium sp. 924(2010). RNAcentral describes it as "bacterial SSU rRNA". It matches the Rfam family "Bacterial small subunit ribosomal RNA", at positions 100 to 578 of the family's 1533-position model. Lineage: Bacteria; Bacillati; Actinomycetota; Actinomycetes; Micrococcales; Microbacteriaceae. The record is from RNAcentral.
GAACGGGUGAGUGACACGUGAGCAACCUGCCCCUGACUCUGGGAUAAGCGCUGGAAACGGCGUCUAAUACUGGAUACGAACCACAGUCGCAUGGCUGGUGGUUGGAAAGAUUUUUUGGUUGGGGAUGGGCUCGCGGCCUAUCAGCUUGUUGGUGAGGUAAUGGCUCACCAAGGCGUCGACGGGUAGCCGGCCUGAGAGGGUGACCGGCCACACUGGGACUGAGACACGGCCCAGACUCCUACGGGAGGCAGCAGUGGGGAAUAUUGCACAAUGGGCGCAAGCCUGAUGCAGCAACGCCGCGUGGGGGAUGACGGCCUUCGGGUUGUAAACCUCUUUUAGCAAGGAAGAAGCGAAAGUGACGGUACUUGCAGAAAAAGCGCCGGCUAACUACGUGCCAGCAGCCGCGGUAAUACGUAGGGCGCAAGCGUUAUCCGGAAUUAUUGGGCGUAAAGAGCUCGUAGGCGG